This 246-nucleotide ribosomal RNA is filed under the name uncultured bacterium. RNAcentral describes it as "partial 16S ribosomal RNA". It matches the Rfam family "Bacterial small subunit ribosomal RNA", at positions 523 to 769 of the family's 1533-position model. The record is from RNAcentral.
AUACGUAGGGGGCUAGCGUUAUCCGGAUUUACUGGGCGUAAAGGGUGCGUAGGUGGUUUCUUAAGUCAGGAGUGAAAGGCUACGGCUCAACCGUAGUAAGCCUUUGAAACUGGGAAACUUGAGUGCAGGAGAGGAGAGUGGAAUUCCUAGUGUAGCGGUGGAAUGCGUAGAUAUAUGGAAGAACACCAGUGGCGAAGGCGGCUGUCUGGUCUGUAACUGACGCUGAGGCUCGAAAGCAUGGGUAGC